This 443-nucleotide ribosomal RNA is filed under the name uncultured bacterium. RNAcentral describes it as "partial 16S ribosomal RNA". It matches the Rfam family "Bacterial small subunit ribosomal RNA", at positions 338 to 795 of the family's 1533-position model. The record is from RNAcentral.
CCUACGGGUGGCAGCAGUGAGGAAUAUUGGGCAAUGGAGGCAACUCUGACCCAGCAACGCCGCGUGAAUGAUGAAGGUCUUGGGUAUGGAAAGUUCUUUUCUACGGGGAGCAGAAACUGACGGUACCUUAGGAAUAAGCCUAGCCGAACUACGAGCCACCAGCCGCGGCAAUACGGAGGCGGCGAUCGUUAUCCGGAUUGACUGGGCGUAAAGGGUGCGUAGGUGGUUUGACAAGUUAGUCGCGCAACUCCGGGGCUCAACUUCGGAAGUACUGCUAAAACUGUUGGACUUGAGUGCAGGAGGGGCAAUCGGAAUUCGUGGUGUAGCGGUGGAAUGCGUAGAUAUUAGGAAGAACACCAGUGGCGAAGGCAGAUUGCUAGACUGAAACUGACGCUGAGGCACGAAAGCGUGGGGAGCGAACAGGAUUAGAUACCCGAGUAGUC